This 1072-nucleotide long non-coding RNA is filed under the name Homo sapiens (human). RNAcentral's name for it is "HSALNT0214053". Lineage: Eukaryota; Metazoa; Chordata; Mammalia; Primates; Hominidae. The record is from RNAcentral.
CACCAAUGUUAAGGUCUGCCUUUCACCUUCCGCCAUGAUUGUGAGGCCUCCCCAGCCACGUGGAACUAUGAGUCCAUUAAGCCUCUUUUUCCUGAUGAAUUACCCAGCCUCAGGUAUGUAUUUAUCAGCAGCAUGAAAAAAGACUAAUACAGAGAAGAUCCAUGACCACUACUCUCAGUUUGUGAACCUCCAUCAACUCAGCAGACCAUCAAAGCCUCAUCUACUUCAAUGGCAAACAAUGUGUAUCUCAUGUUGAACAGGAUGGAAGCCUGCUUCAUUAAGGAAAGCACUACAUUAGGAUCUGGUUUGUGCUGUAGGAGCUUAUGUAGAGCCUCAAAAUGGAAACACACUGAACUCAGCCAUGGAAAGCCUUGUGGAACAGGCUUUGUAUCAGUUGAAGACAAGUGAUAAGAGAAGACUAAUGUUUCUACUCAUGUACAAAGGUACUUUGAUGUUGAUACUGCUUAUGUACAGGUUGAUGCCAUGGCAGGAAAGCAAAGAUUUUGACCUUUGCUGCCCAAUAUGGCAACCACUAGCCACAUAUGUCCACUGAACACCUGAAAUGUGAUUAGUACAACAUAUUAAAAAGGAGCUCGCUGAAGGAAGUUAUAAAAUCCAUGACUUAAUAAUGGAGAUACUAUUUUUCUUGAACGUAAACAAUCUUCAUGUUUGCCACUUGCAAUGGACUGAAUUAUGUCUCUCCCAAAUUGAUGUAUUGAAGCUCUAACUCUCAAAGUGAUUCUAUCUAAGGAUAGGAUAUUUAAAAGCGAGAACACAGUGAGUGAGAAGGUGGCCAUCUGCAAACAAGGGAAAGAGCUCUCAUCAGACCUCAACACACCGGCAUUCUGAUUUCGGACUUCCAGCCACCCAAACCAUGAGAAAAUAAAUUUCUGUUAUUUAAGACAUCCAGGGUAUGGUAUUUUGUUAUAGCUGACUAAUACCAAGCUGAGUAAUCCUGAGCUGAAUAAUACUCAACUUCUAGGCUAGUUCAUAAAAGCAUGAAUAAAUACUCAACUUCUAGGCCAACUUCUAGGCCUAGUUCAUAAAAGCAUGAAUAAAUACUCAACUUCUA